GACGAACGCUGGCGGCGUGCCUAAUACAUGCGAGUUGAGCGCUGAAGGUUGGUACUUGUACCAACUGGAUGAGCAGCGAACGGGUGAGUAACGCGUGGGGAAUCUGCCUUUGAGCGGGGGACAACAUUUGGAAACGAAUGCUAAUACCGCAUAAAAACUUUAAACACAAGUUUUAAGUUUGAAAGAUGCAAUUGCAUCACUCAAAGAUGAUCCCGCGUUGUAUUAGCUAGUUGGUGAGGUAAAGGCUCACCAAGGCGAUGAUACAUAGCCGACCUGAGAGGGUGAUCGGCCACAUUGGGACUGAGACACGGCCCAAACUCCUACGGGAGGCAGCAGUAGGGAAUCUUCGGCAAUCGACGAAAGUCUGACCGAGCAACGCCGCGUGAGUGAAGAAGGGUUUCGGAUCGUAAAACUCUGUUGGUAGAGAAGAACGUUGGUGAGAGUGGAAAGCUCAUCAAGUGACGGUAACUACCCAGAAAGGGACGGCUAACUACGUG
RNAcentral lists this ribosomal RNA (497 nucleotides) under uncultured bacterium. RNAcentral's name for it is "partial 16S ribosomal RNA". It matches the Rfam family "Bacterial small subunit ribosomal RNA", at positions 28 to 507 of the family's 1533-position model. The record is from RNAcentral.